UACAGAGGGGGCUAGCGUUGUUCGGAAUUACUGGGCGUAAAGGGCGCGUAGGCGGAUGUUUAAGUCAGCGGUGAAAGCCCAGGGCUCAACCUUGGAACUGCCAUUGAUACUGGACAUCUUGAGUACGGGAGAGGUGAGUGGAACUCCGAGUGUAGAGGUGAAAUUCGUAGAUAUUCGGAAGAACACCAGUGGCGAAGGCGACUCACUGGCCCGUUACUGACGCUGAGGCGCGAAAGCGUGGGGAGCAAACAGG
This 253-nucleotide ribosomal RNA is filed under the name uncultured bacterium. RNAcentral's name for it is "partial 16S ribosomal RNA". It matches the Rfam family "Bacterial small subunit ribosomal RNA", at positions 524 to 776 of the family's 1533-position model. The record is from RNAcentral.